RNAcentral lists this ribosomal RNA (228 nucleotides) under uncultured eukaryote. RNAcentral's name for it is "partial Bacterial small subunit ribosomal RNA". It matches the Rfam family "Bacterial small subunit ribosomal RNA", at positions 307 to 527 of the family's 1533-position model. The record is from RNAcentral.
GCCACACUGGGACUGAGACACGGCCCAGACUCCUACGGGAGGCAGCAGUGGGGAAUAUUGGACAAUGGGGGCAACCCUGAUCCAGCCAUGCCGCGUGUGUGAAGAAGGCCUUUUGGUUGUAAAGCACUUUAAGCAGGGAGGAGAGGCUAAUGGUUAAUACCCAUUAGAUUAGACGUUACCUGCAGAAUAAGCACCGGCUAACUCUGUGCCAGCAGCCGCGGUAAUACA